Myotis daubentonii (Daubenton's bat) is the source of this 422-nucleotide long non-coding RNA. RefSeq lists it as uncharacterized. The transcript is spliced from 3 exons. The record is from RefSeq and is a predicted model, not a curated record. Lineage: Eukaryota; Metazoa; Chordata; Mammalia; Chiroptera; Vespertilionidae.
AGCGGCCGUGGAGGAGAAGGUGGCGGUUCCCGCUGAGGAGGGUGUUUGUCUUUAAAGCUGACGCUCCGUCCCCCUCCCCGCAGGGAAGGCUGAGGGCGCUGCCGGCGCUGGAGUCCUUGUUGGGGUCCCCGCCCCGGAGCCUCUCUCAGCGGCACAUUCUGUGACUCAACAUAGUGUCACCUGAGAAAACAACCCAGACCCCGGUCAGGACCAGGACCAAAUGGCUGCUUCUCAGGGUAGGAUCCCUAAGCCUGGCCGGCAAUCAGGGCUGAUCUGUGGGGUGACUGAUGAGGCAAUUGGUAAGUCCCUGCUGCCACCCGCCUUGGCUUGCGGCCUGGGCCUGCCUGAUGGCCAUCCCUGCCCCCUGCUGCCAAAACCACGGGUCCCCUCCCUCUCAAGGGUCAGAUGCUCUACUCAGGACA